This 201-nucleotide small RNA is filed under the name Arabidopsis thaliana (thale cress). RNAcentral's name for it is "ATSL047370". Lineage: Eukaryota; Viridiplantae; Streptophyta; Magnoliopsida; Brassicales; Brassicaceae. The record is from RNAcentral.
UUCUUAAGAGCAAACUAAUCUUCUAAAUAUUGAUGACCUUCGAGGUAUUUUUUGAACAAUUGGACUCAAUCUUUCUCUCUACAUCCAUUGGGAUCUUCCCGUUCUUCACAAUCUUCCACUAUUAAUUUUACCGAACAAAGUUUUUAAUCGCAGAAGGCUAGAACUCAACCUUUAGAACAUCCACAUUGAUUAUCCUCUUAC